GUUUUAAUAGUUUAACAAAAACAAUGUCUUUGUAAGCCAUAGUUGUAAAAUUUUACUUAAAACU
RNAcentral lists this transfer RNA (64 nucleotides) under Rhynchothorax sp. JZ-2022. RNAcentral's name for it is "tRNA-Thr". The record is from RNAcentral. Lineage: Eukaryota; Metazoa; Arthropoda; Pycnogonida; Pantopoda; Tanystylidae.